CCUACGGGAGGCAGCAGUAGGGAAUCUUGCGCAAUGGGCGAAAGCCUGACGCAGCAACGCCGCGUGGGGGAAGAAGGCUCUAGGGUCGUAAACCCCUUUCAGCAGGGACGAAAAUGACGGUACCUGCAGAAGAAGCGCCGGCCAACUACGUGCCAGCAGCCGCGGUAAU
Molecule: ribosomal RNA, 169 nt
Filed under: uncultured Bacillota bacterium
Lineage: Bacteria; Bacillati; Bacillota
Description: uncultured Firmicutes bacterium partial 16S ribosomal RNA
Rfam family: Bacterial small subunit ribosomal RNA
Source: RNAcentral